GUUCAGGGGUAAACCUGAGAAACCCAAAAGAUCGAAUGAAGAGAUUCAUCGUCAGCGUAUUUUGUAUAUGUAUGAGUUAUGAUGCGNNAGUUACUAUUNNAUAGUAUUGCUNUGUACGUACUUUUACAUUUAUUUGCAAGAUAUUGUCGGCGUGCACUUCUCUUCUAGUAGGACAUCGCGACCCGUUGGGUGUUGGUUUACGACCUAAGNUGGAAGCCUUUAAUGUUNNUUANNUAAUAUUGAAGACUCUUAGUGUUNUUCUAACCAGCUGCCCAGCGGUACUCGUACGGUAUUUAGCCGCAUNUUUNNNNUAUGCGUCCAUAUCCGUCGCAAGCGAGGCUAGUUUCUGAUAGUNACGGACCUAGUGCCGUCGUUGGUACUGGCCAGCUGUUGGUUGUUAC
This 401-nucleotide ribosomal RNA is filed under the name Callihormius sp. MAS-2010. RNAcentral describes it as "partial 28S ribosomal RNA". The record is from RNAcentral. Lineage: Eukaryota; Metazoa; Arthropoda; Insecta; Hymenoptera; Braconidae.